CGGGGUGUGGCGCAGCCUGGCUAGCGCACCUGCCUUGGGCGCAGGGGGUCGCAGGUUCGAAUCCUGUCACCCCGACGA
This 78-nucleotide transfer RNA is filed under the name Bacteroidota bacterium. RNAcentral describes it as "Bacteroidetes bacterium (groundwater metagenome) tRNA-Pro". It matches the Rfam family "tRNA". Rfam says of the family: Transfer RNA (tRNA) molecules are approximately 80 nucleotides in length. Their secondary structure includes four short double-helical elements and three loops (D, anti-codon, and T loops). Further hydrogen bonds mediate the characteristic L-shaped molecular structure. tRNAs have two regions of fundamental functional importance: the anti-codon, which is responsible for specific mRNA codon recognition, and the 3' end, to which the tRNAs corresponding amino acid is attached (by aminoacyl-tRNA synthetases). tRNAs cope with the degeneracy of the genetic code in two manners: having more than one tRNA (with a specific anti-codon) for a particular amino acid; and 'wobble' base-pairing, i.e. permitting non-standard base-pairing at the 3rd anti-codon position. Lineage: Bacteria; Pseudomonadati; Bacteroidota. The record is from RNAcentral.